CGGGGCGUAGCUCAGCCUGGCUAGAGCGCCUGGUUUGGGACCAGGAAGUCGUAGGUUCGAAUCCUAUCGCCCCGA
Molecule: transfer RNA, 75 nt
Filed under: Planctomycetota bacterium
Lineage: Bacteria; Pseudomonadati; Planctomycetota
Also listed under: 1 other name
Description: Planctomycetes bacterium (freshwater metagenome) tRNA-Pro
Rfam family: tRNA
About the family: Transfer RNA (tRNA) molecules are approximately 80 nucleotides in length. Their secondary structure includes four short double-helical elements and three loops (D, anti-codon, and T loops).
Source: RNAcentral